AGAAAGGAGAUGUAUCCUCUGGCAGCAUCUUGCUCUGUCCAUUUUUGCCCGUUAGCAGAAUUACCCACCUGGUGAGGAGCACAUUGGAGAAAUCCGUGGUACAUUUAGAUGGGAGGGGUGAACAAACGAGAAUCCACUAUACUGAGAGACAGUGUACACAUUUCAUAAAUUCUGUACCCAUGAUACUAAAAAAAGCACAAUUAUUAAGGCCUCAGUAGCCUCUUCCAUGACGCGUAGUACGCCUGAUAAGUAAGAAGGCAAAGUCACAGUGUGACCCAACCGAUCCACGAGAUCUUCAGUGAGUCAACGCAAUAGGCAAAUUUCAGAAGUGGAAAUAACAGAAUCCACUCUGGUUAGUUUAAGCAUGACAUGGAUUUGUUAGAGAACAUUGGGAAUCUCACAGAAUCUCUGAAGAGAAUCUAAUUUACCUGGCAUACCUUUGGUGAGAGGAAACUCAAUCACAUUUGCCGUGUUCUACUUUCUACUUAUUGAAAUUCUGUGCUCAUUUUGGGUGCAAAUCAAGUCUCACUUCCUCCCGGAAACCUCUUCUGGCUCUCUCAGUCCUGACUCAUCUCACAGAAGUCUGGUACUUAGAGAUGUAAGAGGCUUCAGAGACAUUCAAUCCAACCUUGCACGCAGUGGGACCUGGAGUAUCCCAGGAAGAAUGUCAUUCGGCUUCUGCUUACCUUCACCUAGAGAAGGACAGAGCUUUGCCUGCCAGCAGAGGAACCUCCUCAGAUGACUUCCUCUUACCCUCGUAACUUCCCCUCAGAUGGGUCAGGAGACAGGAGGCUUCCUUUGCUUCAAGGGAAUCUGUCAUGGUAGAACCAGGUAAGCAAGUGUUAAAAGAAACGAGAUGCAGACUGGUGUCUACUCGAUGUACAUGUUUCAGAAGCUUUUGUGGAACAUCAAUGUACUUGCUCAUGAAGCCUUCUCUAUUCCCUUGUUACCACAUGAAUGAUUUGGGGGAAAAUAAGAUCCCUGAAAUUGAGUAUACUUACAUAAUUAAUUGA
This 1013-nucleotide long non-coding RNA is filed under the name Macaca mulatta (Rhesus monkey). RNAcentral's name for it is "lncRNA (ENSMMUG00000049720.1)". Lineage: Eukaryota; Metazoa; Chordata; Mammalia; Primates; Cercopithecidae. The record is from RNAcentral.